AUGAAUCCUGCUGGUGUCACUGGGAGUGGUGGCACGGAGAGCCGGGCUCUGCCUCUCCCUGCCUGCAGAGCGAGGAUUUCUCCCCAAAAACCCGAAUUUCCCGGCAGAGGACACAGAGCGGCUCCUGGUGCCACAUCACCGGCACCCGGCGCCGCAGGGAGGUGGCACAGAGAGAGGUGGCACAAGGGAGGUGGCACAAAGGAGAUGGCACAAGGGAGGUGGCACAAAGGCUCCUUUGGAAGGGCUGGGCUGGGGCUUUGCGGAGGGACCCGCUGGAGUGUGCUGGCUCUGUCCCCUCCCUGUUCCCCCCUCGUCCCAUCCCCUCUGUCCCUCUCUGUCCCUCUAUUCCCUCUCUGUCCCUCUCUGUCUCUCUGUCCCUCUGUCCCCCGUCCCUCUCUGUCCCUCUCUGUCCCUCUCUGUCCCUCUGUCCCCCUCUGUCCCUCUCUGUCCCCCUGUCCCUCUGUCCCCCUGUCCCCCUGUCCCUCUGUCCCUCUAUCCCUCUCUGUCCCUCUGUCCCCCCCUGUCCCUCUAUCCCUCUCUGUCCCUCUGUCCCUCUGUCCCCUCUGUCCCUCUCUGUCCCCUCUGUCCCUCUCUGUCCCCCUGUCCCUCUCUGUCCCCUAUGUCCCCCUGUCCCCCCAUCCCUCUGUCCCCCUGUCCCUCUGUCCCCCUGUCCCCUCUGUCCCUCUCUGUCCCCCUGUCCCUCUCUGUCCCCCGUCCCUCUGUCCCUUUCUGUCCCCCUGUCCCUCUGUGUCCCUCUGUCCCUCUCUGUCCCCCUGUCCCUCUCUGUCCCCCCCUGUCCCCCCGCCGUCCGCCCUGUCCCUCUGUCUCUCUGUCCCUCUGUCCGUCCCUGUCCCCCCUGUCCCUCUCUGUCCCUCUCUGUCUCUCUAUCCCCCCCGUCCCUCUGUCCCUCUGUCCCCUCUGUCCCUCUGUCCCCCUGUCCGUCCCUCUGUCCGUCCCGCUCCCGCCGCCGCCGUGCCCGCGCCGCUGCCGCCCUCUGGUGGCCACGGGCCGGAAGCGCAGCCCGGCCUCAUCCCGCGGGCUGAUUUUGGCUCCGAAUUCCGUAAAUAA
Long non-coding RNA from Taeniopygia guttata (zebra finch), 1068 nucleotides. Lineage: Eukaryota; Metazoa; Chordata; Aves; Passeriformes; Estrildidae. The record is from Ensembl.